Molecule: long non-coding RNA, 289 nt
Filed under: Salvia miltiorrhiza (redroot sage)
Lineage: Eukaryota; Viridiplantae; Streptophyta; Magnoliopsida; Lamiales; Lamiaceae
Description: long non-coding RNA (SMIL_LNC001647)
Source: RNAcentral
AUUAUUACUAUUAUUAUUAUUAUUACAGAAACUAACAGCGCAGGUACGAUCGGAUAUCUUGGAUAAAAGAGUAAGAAAUCCACCUAAGUAGAUGGAGUGAAGAAUGAUUGCACACAGAAACCUUCCCACGCAGCCAAGGUGCCUUCCUGCGCAGCCAAGUAGCUUUCCCGUGCAGCCGCGCAGCCAAACCAGAGCAGCGCAGCAGAGCUGCGCAGCCAGAGCAGAGCAGCGCAGACCAAAGCAGCGCGGCAGCGCUGCGCAGUCAGAGCAGCGCCACCAAAGUGCCUUU